UCUUUAAGAUAUUUUUUAAAGUAAGACCUGCUCCAUGAAAAAAUUUUAAUAGCCGCAGAACUCUGUGCUAAGGUAGCAUAAUCAUUAGCUUUUUAAUUAAAAGAUAGAAUGAACGGUCAAACACAAUAUAAACUGUUUCAAUUAUUCAACAACGAAAUUAACUACAAAAGUAAAAACUCUUUUAUUCAUAAGAAAGACGAUAAGACCCUACAAACUUAUUAAUUAGCUGGGGCGGCACCAUAAAAAAACCUUAUUUUAAAAAUGAAUACAAAACAAACAACAUUUAACGAAAAUUAGUUACUUUAGGGAUAACAGCGCUACUUUUUUUUAAAGUUCUAAUAUAAAAAAAUCCUACGACCUCGAUGUUGAAUUAAGCUCCUUUAUAAAGCAAAAAUUAUUUAAAAGGUGGUCUGUUCGACCAAUA
This 424-nucleotide ribosomal RNA is filed under the name Otavaloa cf. angotero ZFMK S320. RNAcentral's name for it is "partial 16S ribosomal RNA". The record is from RNAcentral. Lineage: Eukaryota; Metazoa; Arthropoda; Arachnida; Araneae; Pholcidae.